AGACCUGACUGCUAUCGGAUUGAUACUAAGCCAUGCGAGUCAUUGUAGCAAUACAAGGCAUACGGCUCAGUAACGCGUAGUCAACCUAACCUAUGGACGGGAAUAACCUCGGGAAACUGAGAAUAAUGCCCGAUAGAACAUUAUACCUGGAAUGGUUUAUGUUCCAAAUGAUUUAUCGCCGUAGGAUGGGACUGCGGCCUAUCAGUUUGUUGGUGAGGUAAUGGCCCACCAAGACUAUUACAGGUACGGGCUCUGAGAGGAGUAGCCCGGAGAUGGGUACUGAGACACGGACCCAGGCCCUAUGGGGCGCAGCAGGCGAGAAAACUUUGCAAUGUGCGAAAGCACGACAAGGUUAAUCCGAGUGAUUUCUGCUAAAGAAAUCUUUUGUUAGUCCUAGAAACACUAACGAAUAAGGGGUGGGCAAGUUCUGGUGUCAGCCGCCGCGGUAAAACCAGCACCUCAAGUGGUCAGGAUGAUUAUUGGGCCUAAAGCAUCCGUAGCCGGCUCUGUAAGUUUUCGGUUAAAUCUGUACGCUUAACGUACAGGCCGCCGGGAAUACUGCAAAGCUAGGGAGUGGGAGAAGUAGACGGUACUCGGUAGGAAGUGGUAAAAUGCUUUGAUCUAUCGAUGACCACCUGUGGCGAAGGCGGUCUACUAGAACACGUCCGACGGUGAGGGAUGAAAGCUGGGGGAGCAAACCGGAUUAGAUACCCGGGUAGUCCCAGCUGUAAACUAUGCAAACUCAGUGAUGCAUUGGCUUGUGGCCAAUGCAGUGCUGCAGGGAAGCCGUUAAGUUUGCCGCCUGGGAAGUACGUACGCAAGUAUGAAACUUAAAGGAAUUGGCGGGGGAGCACCACAAGGGGUGAAGCCUGCGGUUCAAUUGGAUUCAACGCCGGA
This 897-nucleotide ribosomal RNA is filed under the name uncultured archaeon. RNAcentral describes it as "bacterial SSU rRNA". It matches the Rfam family "Archaeal small subunit ribosomal RNA", at positions 19 to 922 of the family's 1478-position model. The record is from RNAcentral.